GUGAAUCAUCAAAUUUUUGAACGCAACUUGCACUUUCUGGUAUUCUGGAAAGUAUGCCUGUUUGAGGUGCAGUUAAAUAAAAAUCGGGGUUGUUGCUGCCUUUCGUGGUGAAGCGUCGGAAUUGAGUUGUCUUACCUUCGGUUAAGCGACUUAAAAUUUUGCAUGAUUUUCGAACGUAUUUAUAUUGCUUACGAACGGUAGAGAUAUCGAAUGCUUGUUAGGUUCGGUCAUUCCCAUGAUUCGCGCCUAUAAUUUUUCAUUAAAUGACCUCAAAUCAGGUAAGAAUACCCGCUGAACGUAA
Molecule: unclassified non-coding RNA, 301 nt
Filed under: Glomus sp.
Lineage: Eukaryota; Fungi; Glomeromycota; Glomeromycetes; Glomerales; Glomeraceae
Description: partial contains 5.8S ribosomal RNA, internal transcribed spacer 2, and large subunit ribosomal RNA
Rfam family: 5.8S ribosomal RNA (bases 1-71)
Source: RNAcentral